CCUACGGGGGGCUGCAGUGAGGAAUAUUGGUCAAUGGACGAGAGUCUGAACCAGCCAAGUAGCGUGAAGGAUGACUGCCCUAUGGGUUGUAAACUUCUUUUAUAAAGGAAUAAAACGAGGCACGUGUGCCUUUUUGCAUGUACUUUAUGAAUAAGGAUCGGCUAACUCCGUGCCAGCAGCCGCGGUAAUACGGAGGAUCCGAGCGUUAUCCGGAUUUAUUGGGUUUAAAGGGAGCGUAGAUGGGUUGUUAAGUCAGUUGUGAAAGUUUGCGGCUCAACCGUAAAAUUGCAAUUGAUACUGGCAGUCGUGAGUACAGUUGAGGUAAGCGGAAUUCGUGGUGUAGCGGUGAAAUGCUUAGAUAUCACGAAGAACCCCGAUUGCGAAGGCAGCUUACUAAACUGUGACUGACAUUGAUGCUCGAAAGUGUGGGUAUCAAACAGGAUUAGAUACCCCUGUAGUC
Molecule: ribosomal RNA, 460 nt
Filed under: uncultured bacterium
Lineage: Bacteria
Description: partial 16S ribosomal RNA
Rfam family: Bacterial small subunit ribosomal RNA
Source: RNAcentral